RNAcentral lists this ribosomal RNA (793 nucleotides) under Methanosaeta sp. enrichment culture clone A14117. RNAcentral's name for it is "bacterial SSU rRNA". It matches the Rfam family "Archaeal small subunit ribosomal RNA", at positions 85 to 879 of the family's 1478-position model. The record is from RNAcentral. Lineage: Archaea; Methanobacteriati; Methanobacteriota; Methanomicrobia; Methanotrichales; Methanotrichaceae.
ACUGCUCAGUAACACGUGGACAACCUGCCCUUAGGUUGGGUAUAAACCCGGGAAACUGGGUAUAAUACCCGAUAGGUCUCGAUUGCUGGAAUGCAUCGAGAUUUAAAGCUCCGGCGCCUAAGGAUGGGUCUGCGGCCUAUCAGGUAGUAGUGGGUGUAGCGUACCUACUAGCCUACGACGGGUACGAGUUGUGAGAGCAAGAGCCCGGAGAUGGAUUCUGAGACACGAAUCCAGGCCCUACGGGGUGCAGCAGGCGCGAAAACUUUACAAUGCUGGCAACAGCGAUAAGGGAACCUCGAGUGCCAGGUUACAAAUCUGGCUGUCGAGAUGCCUAAAAAGCAUUUCAUAGCAAGGGCCGGGCAAGACCGGUGCCAGCCGCCGCGGUAACACCGGCGGCUCGAGUGGUAACCGUUAUUAUUGGGUCUAAAGGGUCUGUAGCCGGCCGGAUAAGUCUCUUGAGAAAUCUGGCAGCUUAACUGUCAGGCUUUCAGGAGAUACUGUCUGGCUCGAGGCCGGGAGAGGUGAGAGGUACUUCAGGGGUAGGGGUGAAAUCUUGUAAUCCUUGAAGGACCACCAGUGGCGAAGGCGUCUCACCAGAACGGACCUGACGGCAAGGGACGAAAGCUAGGGGCACGAACCGGAUUAGAUACCCGGGUAGCCCUAGCCGUAAACGAUACUCGCUAGGUGUCGGCCACGGUGCGACCGUUGUCGGUGCCGUAGGGAAGCCGUGAAGCGAGCCACCUGGGAAGUACGGCCGCAAGGCUGAAACUUAAAGGAAUUGGCGGGGGAGCAC